Molecule: long non-coding RNA, 1357 nt
Organism: Papaver somniferum (opium poppy)
Lineage: Eukaryota; Viridiplantae; Streptophyta; Magnoliopsida; Ranunculales; Papaveraceae
Exons: 3
Source: RefSeq, a predicted model, not a curated record
UCUCUAUCUUUCACUCAAUUGCGUAUUCAAAAUUGUUAGUGAUUUCAGUCAGUUUGUUGGUACGAAUUCGUACUAGGAAAUACGCAAGGAGGCAUGUUGUUUGUUAAUUAAUUCUUAGUUUUUUUCAUUUUAUUUCAUAUAAGAAUAGGUCUUGAUUUGAGUAAAUUAUCAAUCAUUCGGUCUGAAUUUGGAAUUCUGAUAGCCGCGUAAUUAUGACUUGGAACUGGAAAAUUUGUUCAUAGCAAUGAAUUCUGUCUUAUUGUAUUCUAAUUUAUCAUGAAAAUUCGUCUCAUUGUUGAAGAUUCUAGAGUUGAUGUGGCGUUGUUGCCCUAUUUGUUUUGUUCCUUGUGUAUUCUUUUUCUUCUUAUGUCUGAUAAUGCUUGUAAGUUGAUGUUUGAAUUUUAAUUAGCUGAUUAAACAUUUUCUGUUCCUCCAUUACAACUUAGAAGUUGCUGAUUGAAGUAAUUUCGAUCCUAACAUGGAUUUUGGACAACUUCAUUGUUUUGGUCACAGGGCUAACUUCAUUGAUCCUUAUAGUAAUGUUACUGUUUUGGCCGCUGGUUGAUGUUUUGGUCAUAUGCUUUUAAUUGAUGCUUGAAAUUUCUAUUUCCGCAGCUAGGUUUAUAUGCAUGAACCAGAAUGGGUUGCUGGUUCUCAAUCUUGAAUCAUCAAUCCAUAUGGUUUGGUUUUCGAUUGUGUAGGAGCUAGUAAAGAUGAAGAUAUAUGCAAGGAGGUCCAUUUACAUAAAGGAGAUGUCUGUGAGGAGUCCUAAAGCUUGUGAUUUGGACUUGAAGAAAAGAGAGCAGGCAGUAACAUGCCAGCCAGUACCAUGUCAAAAAGGGAGGUUCUCCUACCUAGACGUCGCUGCCUUGUCAGGAUACCGUACUCUCUAGAUAGCCUUGAAAGACUGCUGCACUUUGAGGAGUGUAGGUAGCUAUUGGUCUUGCUUUUGGAGUGGAAUAUGUGUUCUGGUUGGGGUUUAUUUCACUGACACAGUCAUAGCGAUUUUGCUGGCUCUUGAGCUACCUUGCUUACAUCACUGUGAAUUCUCUUCAGAGUUAAUAUAUUGCAGUUCAAUUAUUUCUCAUUGCUGGGACUGCUUUGACAACCAACAAAGCUUGCAUCACUUCCGGUAUGCUUCUUAUAUUUUGUGAUCCUAUCAGUUAUUGUUUCGACUGUUUGGAGCCACUUAGCAGUUUAGUUAUAUUUAAGUUGUUGCAUCUUAAAUGAAAGAAGUUUCCCCAAGUGUAUGGAACAAUGUAAAACAAAAUUUUGGAACUAUAUCACAUUGAAUUGUUUGGACCCUUGCCUUUGUAGAGUGAUCCUUUUGGAAUGAAACCUAAAUCUUUUAGAAGAA